This is a non-coding RNA of Carica papaya (papaya), 1950 nucleotides long. The record is from RefSeq and is a predicted model, not a curated record. NCBI's taxonomy places the organism in Eukaryota, Viridiplantae, Streptophyta, Magnoliopsida, Brassicales, Caricaceae.
AAUUUGAUCAGGGAAUUAGGGAAUUUUGCAAGAGAGACAUACGAGCCGGCCUGUUUAAAGCUGUCGAUAGGUAAUAUUCAUCUUGUUUGUGUUUUGAGAGGUAGGGUUUACAAAUUCAUCAUUAACCACGACGGUAGAAUUCACUGCUUCCGAGUAAGUCUGCAUGUAGCUGUAGUUUCAUAGAAUCUUACCAGAGAGAUAGAUGCUAUGAAACCUGUUGCGAAACAACUAAAGAAAGAAGAUGACGAUGACAAUGAAGAUGAAGGAAACAUCAUGCAUCAUGAAGAUGCAGUCCUUCCGUCGAAUCAAUAAUUAACCGAUAUAAUCUGUCAAUGGAUCCUACAAACUCCAUGAAAUCCUCUUCGUCCUCCUUCUUCGUUAAUGUCCAGAUUCUGGUGGUUGUUUCCUACUCCACCAAUCGGUGCCUUGCACGCAGACCACCUGGUUCUCAGAUUCCAUGGCCUCACCUCUUCAGCCGCUGCAGGGGAUUUUUCACUUUCCUUCUUCUUGGUGCAUAUCUUGUUCCUAGCUCUGUCAUCAAGGUAGCAGAGAGUGUUGCCAAAAAGAAGUUGGAUUCUGCUUUUGCUAUCGUCAGAUCUCCAGGGCUUCAUGUCAUAGAAGAUGAAGCUAUGAGGUAGCAGAGAGGGUUGCCAAAAAAGAGUUAGAUUCUGCAAAAAGUUUAUUCAAUAAUAGGUAGCAGAGAGGGUUUCUGAAAGGAGUUGGAUUCUGCUUUUGCUAUCGUUAGACCUCCAGGGCAUCAUGCCGAAGAAAAUGAAGGUUAAUGGCUUUUUAGCAAUUCAGGAAUACGGAUGGAUACUGGAACUCAAUUCUAGUAGCAGAGAGGGUUGCCAAAAAGGAGUGCUUUUGCUAUCGUUAGGCCUCCAGGGCAUCAUGCCGAAGAAGAUGAAGCUAUGGGGUUCUGUUUAUUUAACAGUGUGUCUGUUGCAACACAACUUCUGUUAAAUGAAAGAGCAGAAGGACACUAUAUCUUCGGAAUCUUGUAUUUGAUUCCUUGCAAUUUGCUGAUGCUGAAAGUAGACUUGACCAUUUUGUGGAAUUCAUAUACCAGACACUCUUGCAUCAUGAUGACUCAGAUAUAACAGUCAUCAAAUUAAAAUUAUGGAGAGAAAGAGCACGCUUCAUUUUAAAGAUUAAAUGGAUUGAUUUCGCUUUGAAGCAUAAUGUUGAAGAUCUUGUUAUGAAGCUUGUGUUGCUGAACCAAGAGGGUUUGGCCCCUGUAUCUUUUCCUCCAGAACAUUGAAAAGAUUUACCUUUUUCAGUCAAGCUUCGACAUUCUCAGAUUGCCCAUAUCUGUUUAUCUUCCCAGUCUUAAAGAAUUGCAAUUUUGGGGUGCCAUUUUCACUUAUGAUAUGACAUGGGAAUUAUUACUCAUUGUGUCUGGUGCUGGAAUCUGUGCAUUUGUGGAAUUGCGAUGGCUUCUCUAAAGUUUCUAACUGUUUCCGCUCUCAGACUUAAGUAUCUUCAUCUAGACUAUUGUCGUGGGCUCCAAACGAUUGAGAUGAAUCUUCAUACCCCAGUCUUAUAUAACUUAUAUUAAGGGGAAAUCUUGCAAGAAUCUAUCAUUUCAGGGGUGGCCUUUCUAUUCAUUAUGCAGAUGCAGAUAUUCAAGUUGGUGAAGUUUACAGAAACUAAAUGAGUAUAGAUGUUCUUGGUCGCACUGCUUUAAAGUUGCUUAAUGAACUCUUUAACAUUACUGUACUAGCUGUGGAUAAUUUGUUGUGGGAGGUAUAUGCUCUGUCCAUUUCUUAUACUUGGCUGUAUUCUUUUAGUGUUUGUGUCAUUUUCCUGGGGAGUGGACAAUUAUAUUUUAGUUACCUAUAAUUUUAGGGGACUUCAAUUAUUUCUUCUGCGGAAAUGCUUAGGUGUAUAGCUAGAAUAAAUGUUUAAUCCAAAAGAAAACCUUUAAUAAGUACAAUUUUGGGAGUAUCA